CAGCCGCCGCGGUAAUACGUAGGGUGCAAGCGUUAAUCGGAAUUACUGGGCGUAAAGCGUGCGCAGGCGGUUCGGAAAGAAAGAUGUGAAAUCCCAGAGCUUAACUUUGGAACUGCAUUUUUAACUACCGGGCUAGAGUGUGUCAGAGGGAGGUGGAAUUCCGCGUGUAGCAGUGAAAUGCGUAGAUAUGCGGAGGAACACCGAUGGCGAAGGCAGCCUCCUGGGAUAACACUGACGCUCAUGCACGAAAGCGUGGGGAGCAAACAGGAUUAGAUACCCUGGUAGUCCACGCCCUAAACGAUGUCAACUAGCUGUUGGGGCCUUCGGGCCUUGGUAGCGCAGCUAACGCGUGAAGUUGACCGCCUGGGGAGUACGGUCGCAAGAUUAAAACUUAAAGAAAUUGGCGGG
This 408-nucleotide ribosomal RNA is filed under the name uncultured microorganism. RNAcentral describes it as "bacterial SSU rRNA". It matches the Rfam family "Bacterial small subunit ribosomal RNA", at positions 509 to 917 of the family's 1533-position model. The record is from RNAcentral.